Molecule: long non-coding RNA, 767 nt
Filed under: Homo sapiens (human)
Lineage: Eukaryota; Metazoa; Chordata; Mammalia; Primates; Hominidae
Description: novel transcript
Source: RNAcentral
GCCAUGAUUGUGAGGCUUCCCCAGCCAUGUGGAAACAUAUUCGCAGAGCACCCACUAGGUGCCAGUAAAUGUAUGAGAAGUCCUGUGGAAUAAGACUGAAGUUGUCCUUGCCUUCAAGCAACUUGCAAUUGCCUAAGAACACAGUUUAAAACCACAAAACUAAGCCUUGGAAAUCACAUGCUGUCAUUUCUGCGAUCGGUCAUAACCAGUCCUGAUUCCAUGUUAGAGGAGACUACAUAAGGACACAGGUACCAGAAGAUGAAAAAUUUGGAGUCUAGUGAAAAGAAGUGACUUGCUCAAAAUCACACAGCACAUGAAGAACAGAGCCUCUAUGAUGAAUUUCUUGACAGCUGAUAUAAGUCUUUUGAGGUACAGCCUGGCACAAAAAGGAUGAGAUUUGUGGGCAGAAUUUUGGAAGAAUAUCUCCCGAGAGAACAUUCAGGACAGAGCCCUACAUCUCCCCGAGAAGAGGUGAAAGAGACUGCUCCUAUCUGCUUCUGCAUCAAACUUCAGGCUCAAGACCUGUCCAGAAAAAAAAAUGUCUUCUUUCAGGGAUGAACUGCUGUCCUCAUCAGACGCCUUAUUUUGUUUAGAAUUCAAGCUCACUUGACAGGUUAUUGUGAAGAUUAAAUGAAUUAAUACAUGUGAAGCAACUGUAACAACUCUUGACAUGCGUGGGCUGGACUUCCAGAAGAAACGUUGUCAGAACUCUGCCCAACUGAAAACAAGCCUACUAAAAAUAAAUAAAUAAAUAAAAUUUUAAAAAA